GGCUCGUUGGUCUAGGGGUAUGAUUCUCGCUUCGGGUGUGAGAGGUCCUGGGUUCAAAUCCCGGAAGAGCCC
RNAcentral lists this transfer RNA (72 nucleotides) under Danio rerio (zebrafish). RNAcentral's name for it is "tRNA-Pro (CGG) (tRNA-Pro-CGG-30-1)". It matches the Rfam family "tRNA". From Rfam's summary of the family: Transfer RNA (tRNA) molecules are approximately 80 nucleotides in length. Their secondary structure includes four short double-helical elements and three loops (D, anti-codon, and T loops). Further hydrogen bonds mediate the characteristic L-shaped molecular structure. tRNAs have two regions of fundamental functional importance: the anti-codon, which is responsible for specific mRNA codon recognition, and the 3' end, to which the tRNAs corresponding amino acid is attached (by aminoacyl-tRNA synthetases). tRNAs cope with the degeneracy of the genetic code in two manners: having more than one tRNA (with a specific anti-codon) for a particular amino acid; and 'wobble' base-pairing, i.e. permitting non-standard base-pairing at the 3rd anti-codon position. Lineage: Eukaryota; Metazoa; Chordata; Actinopteri; Cypriniformes; Danionidae. The record is from Rfam by way of RNAcentral.